Molecule: ribosomal RNA, 177 nt
Filed under: uncultured bacterium
Lineage: Bacteria
Description: partial 16S ribosomal RNA
Rfam family: Bacterial small subunit ribosomal RNA
Source: RNAcentral
ACUCCUACGGGAGGCAGCAGUGGGGAAUUUUCCGCAAUGGGCGAAAGCCUGACGGAGCAAUGCCGCGUGAAGGUAGAAGGCCUACGGGUCAUGAACUUCUUUUCCCGGAGAAGAAGCAAUGACGGUAUCCGGGGAAUAAGCAUCGGCUAACUCUGUGCCAGCAGCCGCGGUAAUACA